UACGUAGGGGGCAAGCGUUGUCCGGAAUGACUGGGCGUAAAGGGCGUGUAGGCGGCCGAUUAAGUCUGGAGUGAAAGUCCUGCUUUCAAGGUGGGAAUUGCUUUGGAUACUGGUUGGCUUGAGUGCGGAAGAGGUAAGUGGAAUUCCCAGUGUAGCGGUGAAAUGCGUAGAGAUUGGGAGGAACACCAGUGGCGAAGGCGACUUACUGGGCCGUAACUGACGCUGAGGCGCGAAAGCGUGGGGAGCGAAC
RNAcentral lists this ribosomal RNA (250 nucleotides) under uncultured bacterium. RNAcentral's name for it is "partial 16S ribosomal RNA". It matches the Rfam family "Bacterial small subunit ribosomal RNA", at positions 524 to 773 of the family's 1533-position model. The record is from RNAcentral.